UUCCGGUUCGGGCCCGGGUCCGGGUUCCGGUUCGGGCUCGGGGUCGGUCAUGGGGCCGGUCGCGGUGUCGGGUUCGGGUUCCGGUUCGGGGCC
This 93-nucleotide transfer RNA is filed under the name Streptomyces hygroscopicus subsp. sporocinereus. RNAcentral's name for it is "tRNA-Pro". The record is from RNAcentral. Lineage: Bacteria; Bacillati; Actinomycetota; Actinomycetes; Kitasatosporales; Streptomycetaceae.